Molecule: long non-coding RNA, 621 nt
Filed under: Gossypium barbadense (sea-island cotton)
Lineage: Eukaryota; Viridiplantae; Streptophyta; Magnoliopsida; Malvales; Malvaceae
Description: long non-coding RNA (GBAR_LNC008258)
Source: RNAcentral
CAUUUUCAAACGAUCUCCUUUUUUCUUCCUCAUUUCCUCUUUACAAUGCUCCCUUAAGCAGACCAUCAUGGUUCUUUGUCUUUUCAUCCCUUGGUAAAGUAUGUCCUUGAUAAGUGAGUUUUCUCACUAUUUUGAUCGUUCCUCUAUUGGAUCGACCCAAUUCUUUGAAAUACCUUCCCAUUUUCAUAAUCCCUAUUACUUUAAAACUUCUAAACUUCAAGCCCUAAGUCCUUCUCAGAGGAAAUAGUCACCCCCCUUUCUUCAACGAAUUUUACCGGAGAAAUAUACUUAAUCAAUGCCUUGCCUGUCAAUUUCAACAGCCCUUGCUACCGCACUGGAGAGGCCAGAGCUAAGAUAAGUAUUUUCAUUUUCUUUUAAGCCUUCUUUUGCUAAGAUAUGAGGUACUUUAUUCUUUUGUUUCCAUGCAUGUUGAAAAAUACAAGUAACAAAGUUACUGCAUAAUCGUUUAGCAUCAACAAUAUAUGCUCUAAUUUUUUAUCCAUCUUCCUCUCGACUUUUUAAUUUUCGGAUGAUAGUUAAUGCAUCACCCUCGACUUCAAUUCGUAGGAAUUCAGAUUCUGCCCCAAAUCGAAUCGCCUGAACGUAUGCGAGAGCUUCUAC